RNAcentral lists this ribosomal RNA (483 nucleotides) under uncultured bacterium. Its description in RNAcentral is "bacterial SSU rRNA". It matches the Rfam family "Bacterial small subunit ribosomal RNA", at positions 32 to 524 of the family's 1533-position model. The record is from RNAcentral.
AAUCAACGCUGGCGGCGUGCCUCAGACAUGCAAGUCGAACGAUUAAAGCUCUCUUCGGAGAGUGUAUAGAGUGGCGCACGGGUGAGUAACACGUAAGUAAUCUACCUUUGAGUGGGGAAUAACCCGGGGAAACCCGAGCUAAUACCGCAUAAUGCAGCGGCACCGCAAGGUGACAGUUGUUAAAGGAGCGAUCCGCUUAAAGAGGAGCUUGCGGCAGAUUAGCUAGNGGUAAGGUAAUGGCUUACCAAGGCUUCGAUCUGUAUCCGGCCUGAGAGGGCGGUCGGACACACUGACACUGAAUAACGGGUCAGACUCCUACGGGAGGCAGCAGUCGGGAAUUUUGGGCAAUGGGCGAAAGCCUGACCCAGCAACGCCGCGUGAAGGAUGAAGUAUUUCGGUAUGUAAACUUCGAAAGAAUGGGAAGAAUCAAUGACGGUACCAUUUAUAAGGUCCGGCUAACUACGUGCCAGCAGCCGCGGUAAC